GACAGCAUGGUGUAGUGGUUUGAGCACUGGACUGAGACUCUGGAGACUAGGGUUCAAAUCCCUCCUCAGCCA
Molecule: transfer RNA, 72 nt
Filed under: Phrynosoma platyrhinos (Desert horned lizard)
Lineage: Eukaryota; Metazoa; Chordata; Lepidosauria; Squamata; Phrynosomatidae
Description: tRNA-OTHER
Rfam family: tRNA (bases 9-72)
About the family: Transfer RNA (tRNA) molecules are approximately 80 nucleotides in length. Their secondary structure includes four short double-helical elements and three loops (D, anti-codon, and T loops).
Source: RNAcentral